This 275-nucleotide ribosomal RNA is filed under the name uncultured bacterium. RNAcentral's name for it is "partial 16S ribosomal RNA". It matches the Rfam family "Bacterial small subunit ribosomal RNA", at positions 338 to 623 of the family's 1533-position model. The record is from RNAcentral.
CCUACGGGUGGCUGCAGUGGGGAAUAUUGCGCAAUGGGCGGAAGCCUGACGCAGCGACGCCGCGUGGGGGAUGACGGCCUUCGGGUUGUAAACCUCUUUCGCCAGGGACGAAGCUUUCGGGUGACGGUACCUGGAUAAGAAGCACCGGCCAACUACGUGCCAGCAGCCGCGGUAACACGUAGGGUGCGAGCGUUGUCCGGAAUUAUUGGGCGUAAAGAGCUCGUAGGCGGUGUGUCGCGUCGGCCGUGAAAACCUUCAGCUUAACUGGGGGCUUG